This 388-nucleotide ribosomal RNA is filed under the name uncultured bacterium. Its description in RNAcentral is "bacterial SSU rRNA". It matches the Rfam family "Bacterial small subunit ribosomal RNA", at positions 1117 to 1501 of the family's 1533-position model. The record is from RNAcentral.
GCCAGCACGUAAUGGUGGGAACUUCAGGGAGACUGCCGGUGACAAACCGGAGGAAGGCGGGGACGACGUCAAGUCAUCAUGGCCCUUACGGGUAGGGCUACACACGUGCUACAAUGGCCAGUACAGAGGGUCGCGAAACGGUGACGUGGAGCCAAUCUUUCAAAGCUGGUCGUAGUCCGGAUUGGAGUCUGCAACUCGACUCCAUGAAGUCGGAAUCGCUAGUAAUCGCUGGUCAGCUACACAGCGGUGAAUCCGUUCCCGGGCCUUGUACACACCGCCCGUCACACCAUGGAAGUUAGUUAUACCCGAAGUUGUUAUCUUAACCCGUAAGGGAGAGAGACACCUAAGGUAGAAUUAGUGACCGGGGUGAAGUCGUAACAAGGUAACC